AACGAACGCUGGCGGCAUGCCUAACACAUGCAAGUCGAACGAGACCUUCGGGUCUAGUGGCGCACGGGUGCGUAACGCGUGGGAACCUGCCCUUAGGUUCGGAAUAACUCCCCGAAAGGGGUGCUAAUACCGGAUAAUGUCUUCGGACCAAAGAUUUAUCGCCUUUGGAUGGGCCCGCGUUGGAUUAGCUAGUUGGUAGGGUAAAAGCCUACCAAGGCGACGAUCCAUAGCUGGUCUGAGAGGAUGAUCAGCCACACUGGGACUGAGACACGGCCCAGACUCCAGGGGGAGAAGAAGGGGGAAAUAGUAAAAAGGGCGCGAAGGCUGAAUCCAGCAUUGCCGCGUGAGUAAGGAGGGCUUUGGGGUUGUAAACUUUUUUUCCCCGGGAUGAAAAUCAGAGACGGGGGAAAAAAGCCCCGGCCAAGCCCGGCC
This 432-nucleotide ribosomal RNA is filed under the name uncultured bacterium. RNAcentral's name for it is "partial 16S ribosomal RNA". It matches the Rfam family "Bacterial small subunit ribosomal RNA", at positions 29 to 509 of the family's 1533-position model. The record is from RNAcentral.